Molecule: ribosomal RNA, 441 nt
Filed under: uncultured bacterium
Lineage: Bacteria
Description: SSU rRNA
Rfam family: Bacterial small subunit ribosomal RNA
Source: RNAcentral
AGAACGAACGCUGGCGGCACGCCUAACACAUGCAAGUCGAGCGCCCAGCAAUGGGAGCGGCGGACGGGUGAGUAACACGUGGGAAUAUGCCUUUCGGUACGGAACAACUCAGGGAAACUUGAGCUAAUGCCGUAUACGCCCUUACGGGGAAAGAUUUAUCGCCGAAAGAUUAGCCCGCGUCUGAUUAGCUAGUUGGUGAGGUAAUGGCUCACCAAGGCUUCGAUCAGUAGCUGGUUUGAGAGAACGACCAGCCACACUGGGACUGAGACACGGCCCAGACUCCUACGGGAGGCAGCAGUGGGGAAUCUUGGACAAUGGGGAAACCCUGAUCCAGCGAUGCCGCGUGAGUGAUGAAGGCCUUCGGGUUGUAAAACUCUUUCGACGGGACGAUAAUGACGGUACCCGUAGAGAAGCUCCGGCUAACUUCGUGCCAGCAGCCGC